This 460-nucleotide ribosomal RNA is filed under the name uncultured bacterium. Its description in RNAcentral is "partial 16S ribosomal RNA". It matches the Rfam family "Bacterial small subunit ribosomal RNA", at positions 338 to 795 of the family's 1533-position model. The record is from RNAcentral.
CCUACGGGUGGCAGCAGUGAGGAAUAUUGGUCAAUGGACGAGCGUCUGAACCAGCCAAGUAGCGUGAAGGCUGACUGCCCUAUGGGUUGUAAACUUCUUUUAUAUGGGAAUAAAAUGUUCCACGUGUGGGAUUUUGUAUGUACCAUAUGAAUAAGGAUCGGCUAACUCCGUGCCAGCAGCCGCGGUAAUACGGAGGAUCCGAGCGUUAUCCGGAUUUAUUGGGUUUAAAGGGAGCGUAGGUGGAUUGUUAAGUCAGUUGUGAAAGUUUGCGGCUCAACCGUAAAAUUGCAGUUGAAACUGGCAGUCUUGAGUACAGUAGAGGUGGGCGGAAUUCGGGGUGUAGCGGUGAAAUGCUGAGAGAUCACGAAGAACUCCGAUUGCGAAGGCAGUUCACUGGACUGCAACUGACACUGAGGCUCGAAAGUGUGGGUAUCAAACAGGAUUAGAUACCCCUGUAGUC